This 89-nucleotide transfer RNA is filed under the name Hydrogenibacillus sp. RNAcentral's name for it is "tRNA-Ser". It matches the Rfam family "tRNA". From Rfam's summary of the family: Transfer RNA (tRNA) molecules are approximately 80 nucleotides in length. Their secondary structure includes four short double-helical elements and three loops (D, anti-codon, and T loops). The record is from RNAcentral. Lineage: Bacteria; Bacillati; Bacillota; Bacilli; Thermicanales; Thermicanaceae.
GGAGUGAUACCCAAGAGGCCGAAGGGGACGGUUUGCUAAACCGUUAGUGGGCGUUGCCCGGCGAGGGUUAAGUCCCUCUCACUCCACCA